Molecule: long non-coding RNA, 418 nt
Filed under: Actinidia chinensis (golden kiwifruit)
Lineage: Eukaryota; Viridiplantae; Streptophyta; Magnoliopsida; Ericales; Actinidiaceae
Description: long non-coding RNA (ACHI_LNC003704)
Source: RNAcentral
UCAAACUAUAUUAAAAUAGGGCAUCUCUUAUCUCUAGGAAAUUAAUUUUUUAUUACCUCCUCCAACAAUACUACAUACUCUUUCUUUGCUUCAAUUAAAUACUUUUUUUUUCUACUUACCCAAUGCUCAUAGUCAUCAUCGCCAUGGCCGAUCAACCACUGUUGUUGCCGAGCACCAUCACUAAACAAUCAAUCAAACCUACUCAACCACCAAUCAACCAUCAACCACCGUUAUCGUUGAUUGCCAUCACCAAACACAACUAUCAUCGAUCAAAUCCUCAUCAUCAACCUAGCUCCAUCACUGCCGCUGACCACCAUCAUUGAACCGAGCCAUCAUCGAUGAAACCCUUAGCAUCGACCACCGCCACUACCGAUAGCCAUUCACCAAAACUAGCCACAAUCAACAGUGACCAAGAAGG